GGAGUUGUGGCUCAGUGGUAGAGUGCUUGCCUAGCAUGCAUGAGGCCCUGGGUUCUAUUCUCAGCACCCCCC
RNAcentral lists this transfer RNA (72 nucleotides) under Marmota marmota marmota (Alpine marmot). It matches the Rfam family "tRNA". From Rfam's summary of the family: Transfer RNA (tRNA) molecules are approximately 80 nucleotides in length. RNAcentral also lists the same sequence under 1 other name. The record is from Rfam by way of RNAcentral. Lineage: Eukaryota; Metazoa; Chordata; Mammalia; Rodentia; Sciuridae.